This 458-nucleotide ribosomal RNA is filed under the name uncultured bacterium. RNAcentral's name for it is "bacterial SSU rRNA". It matches the Rfam family "Bacterial small subunit ribosomal RNA", at positions 28 to 507 of the family's 1533-position model. The record is from RNAcentral.
GAUGAACGCUGGCGGCGUGCUUAACACAUGCAAGUCGAACGUGAAGACGUAGCAAUAUGUCUGAAAGUGGCGGACGGGUGAGUAACACGUGGGUGACCUGCCUUGGAGUGGGGAUAACCAUGGGAAACUGUGGCUAAUACCGCAUGGUCUUAUGAAUGUGGGAACAUUGAUAAGUAAAGCUUUAGUGCUUCAAGAGGGGCCUGCGUCCGAUUAGCUAGUUGGUAGGGUAAUGGCCUACCAAGGCGAUGAUCGGUAGCUGGUCUGAGAGGACGAUCAGCCACACGGGAACUGAGAGACGGUCCCGACUCCUACGGGGGGCAGCAGUGAGGAAUAUUGGGCAAUGGACGCAAGUCUGACCCAGCAACGCCGCGUGGAGGAUGAAGUCUUUGGAUUGUAAACUCCUUUUGCCGGGAAAGGCGAGGACGGUACCCGGAGAAUAAGUCACGGCUAACUACGUG